GUAGCGGCGAGCGAAACGGGAAGAGCCCAAACCAACAAGCUUGCUUGUUGGGGUUGUAGGACUCCAAUAUGGUAGUCUGUUAGUAUAGUUGAAGGAUUUGGAAAAUUCCGCUAAAGAGGGUGAAAGCCCCGUAGACGAAAUGCUGACAACACCUAGGAGGAUCCUGAGUACGGCGGAACACGAGAAAUUCCGUCGGAAUCCGCGGGGACCAUCCCGCAAGGCUAAAUACUCCCUAGUGACCGAUAGUGAACCAGUACCGUGAGGGAAAGGUGAAAAGCACCCCGGAAGGGGAGUGAAAUAGAUCCUGAAACCGUGUGCCUACAACAAGUCAAAGCUCGUUAAUGAGUGAUGGCGUGCCUUUUGUAGAAUGAACCGGCGAGUUACGAUUGCAUGCGAGGUUAAGUCGAAGAGACGGAGCCGCAGCGAAAGCGAGUCUGAAUAGGGCGAAUGAGUAUGUAGUCGUAGACCCGAAACCAUGUGAUCUACCCAUGUCCAGGUUGAAGGUGCGGUAAAACGCACUGGAGGACCGAACCCACGUACGUUGAAAAGUGCGGGGAUGAGGUGUGGGUAGCGGAGAAAUUCCAAACGAACUUGGAGAUAGCUGGUUCUCUCCGAAAUAGCUUUAGGGCUAGCCUCGGAAUUGAGAAUGAUGGAGGUAGAGCACUGUUUGGACUAGGGGCCCAUCUCGGGUUACCGAAUUCAGAUAAACUCCGAAUGCCAUUCAUUUAUAUCCGGGAGUCAGACUGCGAGUGAUAAGAUCCGUAG
This 765-nucleotide ribosomal RNA is filed under the name Enterococcus faecalis. RNAcentral's name for it is "partial 23S ribosomal RNA". It matches the Rfam family "Bacterial large subunit ribosomal RNA", at positions 243 to 1010 of the family's 2925-position model. Lineage: Bacteria; Bacillati; Bacillota; Bacilli; Lactobacillales; Enterococcaceae. The record is from RNAcentral.